UGAGGCAGAGAAUUGCUUGAACCCGGGAGGCAGAAGUUUCAGUGAGCCGAGAUCAUGCUACUGCACUCUAACCUGGGUGACAGAGUGAGACUCUGUCUCAAAAAAAAAAAAAAGCCCCAAGGUUGGACUCCCAGUGUCUCAGGACCAGUGUGAGAAGUGCAGCAGUUGCCCAGCACUGAGUGUGGCUGUUUCUUCAAGGGGGUUGCCUCCAAGUUCUUCCUAUCCCAAUGCCUAGGCUGGGUGCUGGCUGUGCUACUUGCCUGGGGUUCCCGCCUGGCCCCAUAGGCAGCUGAGCCAGCAACACCACAUACUGCAGAAGUCCUACAGGUUGCGGGCUGGGGGGCGGGUAGGAAGAGUAGGAAGCGCUCUGAGUGUGGUGCUGAAUGUCUCCUCUGAGUCUAGCAGAGGCAUUUGGCUGUAAUUCUUAGAACUCAGUACAGGGACAGAAGUUGAAGGUUUGGGACCCAGGACACUUCUGGUGUCUCCCUCCAGACAGUGGGUUUUGGGUGAGCCAUGCAGACAGGAAUGGGCAGCAUCCCAAGCAAACGUCAGCUCAGCACCAAAGGGCAUGGGCCAGACCCCAGAGCAUGCCUGGAGCCACUCCCUGCCCCCUGAGCGGCCUUGUUUCCCUGUGCGUCUAGGCAGCUGGGUGGGACAUGAGACUCUCCCAGCCUCUGCUGGUGCAGGUAGGAGGCUUAGGGAGGGUGUCCACUAAGUGAGCCAGCAAUGGUACCUUCUGGAGUGACCAACAGGCAGGGGGGUCAUCUGUGCCUGCUUCCCUCUCCACUGGGGAUAGCACCCUGACUUCUUCUGUGGAAUCACCCCUUCUCUCCACUCAGCCUGCUGGAUCGUGAGGGGCUGCCAAUCAACACAGUCUAGCUCCAGGCUGGACAGGGGACCUCAAUCAGCCUGACGAGAACUAGCAGGUGUCAUCUCAGAGGAGUCUUGCUGGACUCAUCAGAAAAGAGAGGGUCUCUUUCCCGCAGAGUUACUAAGUCUUCUGCUAAACACCUCCCUUGGGCUGAACCCCACUCGAAGUGACAAGAAAAAAGAGCCCUUUCCAUGUGACCCAUAACCAGCCUCCUGGAAUACAGAACAGGAUGGAGAAAAGUGGAGGGUGGGUCAGGAAAGGUAGAUGGAAGAUCUCCAAAACAGCUCACCCCUUCUCUCCUCAGCACCCAGUUCAUUCAGACUCAAAGAGGAGGCCACAGACUCAGAGACCUUGGCAGGCAGCAGAACAUGUCAUUAGAAUGGACAUGAUGUUCCUGUCCUCAGGGUGGUACCUGUGAGCCGGGGAGGUGGCUUGGAGAGCCUUGGAGCCGUCUUGGUGACAUGCGGGAAGCUUCCCACCCUGAAAACCGGAAGCCAGUUCUUGCCAAAAUUUUGAAGAUGAACACAGAGACCAGUUCAAACUUGGAACUUGUAGGCCCUGGAACAGAGAAGGCCCCUGGUCUGAGAACCCCUUGCUUUCUUCCGGUGGAGCCGCUGUCUGGGCCAAGCCCUUCCUUCUCUGGUGGGGAGUCCAUGGUCUGGCCCUCGCUCCCUCAUUCUUUUCCUGGAGGAAGAAAAGAAACUUUGUUCAGCAGAGUCCCAGCACCUGGUCCUUCCAACUGCAAGCCUGCCUUCCGUGCCCCUGACCUUAAAUAAGAAGGCGCCAGGAAAGGUCCACCUCCAGGGCCGGGAACAAGAUACCUACCCCAAGAAUGUACCGGCGGGGAGGGAGAUGGAUGGGAGUGGGCUUCCUACAGGGUGAAGCCCGACAGGCUGGCCCGGCCCCUUCCUGCUCAUUCUCAGGAACACACCUGACUGCUGCCCCUCCCGUUUAUCCAGGACUGAGGGAGCCUCAGGGCCCAGGAGGCUGCAGUCCUCAGACUGUGACCUUGCGUAGGUGACUUUGUUUCUGAGCCACAACCUCUUAUCUGUAAAAUGGGUUAAUGCUACCCCAGGUGGUGGUGACAAUUCAGUAAGCCGUGCGUACAAGGCACCUGCCUCGACUGGCCCCCCAAGCAACACCAGAGCCUGACUCCCACUCCAUCUCUGCUUAUUCCUGUAGACACGAGCUCAGUCUGACAACCAGAACCGUCAGAUUUCUUGGGUAAUAAGGGAGUCCCAGCAGCUGUUUCUCAGAGCAGUGAGAGGAUCCAGCCUCCACCCACCCUGGGCCAGGCCUCCGCAUUCCUCCUCGUCUUCAACGGGGCGCUGCUUCCGCAGCCGCCUCUCCACUCCAGCCUUGGUGGGUCACCUCUCCCAGUGCCCCCGUGUUACCAUAAUGGCCAGAGGAGGGUCCCAGAAAGCCCGGGGGAUGCGUCUUCCCCAUCAAGACCUCCCGAGGAGCCCUUUCACCUCUCUGAGCCCCCGUGUCCUCCUCUGUGAGGACAGAGCUGUGGCCACGGUGACCCACAUGCUCCUUUGCCACUGCUGCCUCCUAUCACUUCCCUGCUGAGCCCA
Molecule: long non-coding RNA, 2448 nt
Filed under: Homo sapiens (human)
Lineage: Eukaryota; Metazoa; Chordata; Mammalia; Primates; Hominidae
Description: HSALNT0098940
Source: RNAcentral